Molecule: non-coding RNA, 903 nt
Organism: Physcomitrium patens
Lineage: Eukaryota; Viridiplantae; Streptophyta; Bryopsida; Funariales; Funariaceae
Source: RefSeq, a predicted model, not a curated record
GAUUUGUAUCAUUUGCGUAUUUGUUUUUUGUAAACAGAGCCAGGUAGCAUUUAAGAGUCAGAUCGUGAUGCAUCUGGUUGAAACUUGUUCUGAAGGUUAGUUAUAGGUGCGUGGUUGGGGACAUAAACAUGAGGGCAGAAGCCGUUACCAUUGUGAGCCGAAUGUGUAUUUGCCCUAGAAUUCAAAACAGACUAGUUGAGGAUGUGGGAUUUCUAUGUGCAGUAUGUACAAAGGACGGGAUCUCUUCAAUAUUUUCAGUCUAGGAGUUGAUUUCUUUUGUGCUUUUGGCGUGUUAGGUGAUGACUGCGCGGUUGCUGAAGAUGUGGUCAGGCCACAACCUUAGGUCCUUCCUCUUGCGUUUGGUGUCCAGCAAGUGAAUAUGCCACGAAGCUAGCCAUAAUUGUGGAGAGGAAGGGGUGCGUCGCAUUCCAAUUGCUUCUGUGACCGUCGAUGAUCUCAUUUUCAUAUGUUGAUGUGCAUCAUGUAGUCGAGUCCUUUCUGUCUGGUAGAGGCUCUCGGAAUAUGUCAGUACAAAAGUUAUAUGGUAAUCUUUCUGUCUUUUUGUGAACAGUUGAGCAUUUACGUCGUUUGUCUUCAGUAUGGAUGGGAUUCCGCUGGUUUCUAGGACUGAGAUCUGCACAGCGCGCCUCUAGGACACAGCAUUUCAUCAUCAGAAUAAUGGUGCAAGAACACUCCUUCCUCUGUUCUACGGGUUCUAGUGUCUUUGAGGGUCUAAUCAAUAUGUGCAGGCUUUAGUGUCUCUGUAUAGAGCCCAACUCCUUUCAGUAUGUGCUCAACUCUCUUACAAAUCGGGCUUUAGCACUGCUGAUGAUCUAUGUUUGGAUGUAAUUAGGUGCUUCAAUCUACACUCGUGACUUGAAGUGAGUUUGACCUUAAACUUUA